CUUGGGUCCAGACUGAGCCCGCUGUCAGCUGGCACCUCUCAGGCCAACCCAGAGCAGGAGACAGGGAGGCCACAAGCUGCCUGUAGGUUGUUCAAGAAGCCUUACUAAGAAGGUGAUAUCUGAGUAAGACCUGAAGCAGGUGAGGAAGCAGGCCCUGCAGACAGCUGGGAAGAGUGUUCCAGGCAGAGAAAAGACCAGAAGGACUGGCCGUGUGUCCGAGGCAGAAACACUGAGGUAGGAGCAGCCCCGGCUUACCCAUGGGGGCAGGAAUCCAGAUGAGAAGGUACGGGAGAUUGGACAAGGCUGACUGAAUGUGGAAUGUGAGGGCGAAGAGUCAGGGAUGACUGGGGAGCCAGUAGGCUGGAGCUGCCAUUGGCUGCAAAGGGCUGAGGGCAGGAGCAGGAGGUUUGCAGGCAGGGUUUGCUUGUGCGGGUUGAGUUGGAAGUGCCCUUGAGACAUCCAGGCAGAGGCAUGGAGUAAGCGGUCGGCUGAGUCCCUAGUUGAGGAAAGGUCUGGGCUAGAGUAUAAAUUUGGAAGUUGUCAGUGUAAAAGAGUUACGUUAAGCAAUGAGGUUCAUUAUCCAACCUCAGACGUUUCCUUAUCUCCAGGACAUCUCUCACUCUGUGACUAAACAGAACUUCCUUUCUAACCUCUAAUUUUCUUUCCUGCCCAGGUCACCACUGGCAUGCGCCAGGAUCUACUCUUGUCUCUUCUUACCUCCUCCAGACAGAUGCCCUUUCAGCAGUAGCUGAAGUAUGAAAUAUGCUUUUCUCAUAGGGGCAGAAGCUGUUCGCUGUGGUCCAGGCCCCACGGCCUGCUGUCUGCACAGUCCCUGGCCUUUGAUCUUGUGCCUUGCCUUCUUGUAAAGUAGAAUCUCUGUCCUUACUUCCGGCCCAGUCCUGAUUUCACUGCUCCUCUGCCUUGCCUUCUGGUUACCUGCAGGUAACUACACUGCCUUUUGUCCAUGUGUAAACUCAGUGCUAAUCACCCUUUUCUAGUUGUUUCCAGAAACAUAUUCUACUUCCACGCUAAGCCUUAAAGUCUUUGAGAGCAUGUCUAGGUUUUCUUCACCUUCUUGUCCGCAGUGCCUUUCAAAUUGUCAGUGACCUAAUGCACCAGGGAUGGGGUGCAAGUUUGCUUUUCCUGCACCUUCCACAUUCUCAGUCCCAGUUGUGCAUCCUCAGCAUCAUGUACAGAGCAGUGGUGUGAGGACCGCCUGCACCUACAUCCGUUAGAGAAUCUUAAAAUGCAGAUUCCCAGGUCCCAUCUCAGACCUGCUGAACCUAAUAAAUCAGCUUCUCUGGGGUGAUGCCUGCGUAUCUGAGUUUUUAACAGGCUCCCCAGAUUAUUCUCACACAAUCAUGACAACUACUAGUGCAGAGAAAAGAUUGCGAUCCCAUUUUCACGGUUUCCAGCUUUAAGACCUUGGGCAAGUCCCCCAUCUCAAGUCGUAGUCUUCUUAUCUCUAUAAUGGGUAUAACAACACUUGCUACCUACUUUGUAAGGCUGUUGUAAAAAAAAAAAAAAAAAAAAUGAGCACUUUGGAAACAAAUUGUAAAGUGUUAUGUUCUGGCACCCUGGCUAAUCUCAUCUUCUGGUAUCUCUGCUUGAUUUUGUGUGGGCAAGCCCAGCUGCAGCUUCUACAGAUUAGCUCUUUGAGCACAGAGACCAGUAAUGUGCACAUGAGGUUGCCUAAUGCUGUUUAUGUGCCUGAGCCUUUAGUGACUAACAGUAAACAGGAAUCAGGUGGCUACCCUUCUCUGCCCUGGCCAGGCAGAGGCAUUGUUCCCCCUUCGUUCUCUGUGUCUGCCAUUGACCAUCAUUAAAACCAGCGUGCCA
Leopardus geoffroyi (Geoffroy's cat) is the source of this 1839-nucleotide long non-coding RNA. RefSeq lists it as uncharacterized. NCBI's taxonomy places the organism in Eukaryota, Metazoa, Chordata, Mammalia, Carnivora, Felidae. The record is from RefSeq and is a predicted model, not a curated record. The transcript is spliced from 2 exons.